RNAcentral lists this ribosomal RNA (383 nucleotides) under uncultured bacterium. RNAcentral describes it as "bacterial SSU rRNA". It matches the Rfam family "Bacterial small subunit ribosomal RNA", at positions 30 to 414 of the family's 1533-position model. The record is from RNAcentral.
AUUGAACGCUGGCGGCAUGCCUUACACAUGCAAGUCGAACGGCAGCACGGGGGCAACCCUGGUGGCGAGUGGCGAACGGGUGAGUAACAUAUCGGAACGUGCCCUGGAGUGGGGGAUAACUAGUCGAAAGACUAGCUAAUACCGCAUACGAUCUACGGAUGAAAGUGGGGGAUCGCAAGACCUCAUGCUCGUGGAGCGGCCGAUAUCUGAUUAGCUAGUUGGUGGGGUAAAGGCCUACCAAGGCAUCGAUCAGUAGCUGGUCUGAGAGGACGACCAGCCACACUGGGACUGAGACACGGCCCAGACUCCUACGGGAGGCAGCAGUGGGAAUUUUGGACAAUGGGCGCAAGCCUGAUCCAGCAAUGCCGCGUGAGUGAAGAAGG